Molecule: ribosomal RNA, 329 nt
Filed under: uncultured eukaryote
Lineage: Eukaryota
Description: partial 18S ribosomal RNA
Rfam family: Eukaryotic small subunit ribosomal RNA
Source: RNAcentral
CCCUUAGAUGUUCUGGGCCGCACGCGCGCUACACUGAUGCAUUCAACGAGUCUAAAACCUGCUCUGAUAGGGGUGGGUAAUCUUUUGAAUGUGCAUCGUGAUUGGGAUAGAUGAUUGCAAUUUUUCAUCUUCAACGAGGAAUGCCUAGUAAACGCAAGUCAUCAGUUUGCAUUGAUUACGUCCCUGCCCUUUGUACACACCGCCCGUCGCUCCUACCGAUUGAAUGAUCCGAUGAAUAUCAUGGAUUGAGGAUGCAAGUAGGUUAGCCUAUCUUCAUCUUCGAGAAGUGAAGUAAAUCUUAUCAUUUAGAGGAAGGAGAAGUCGUAACA